UAGCUGAAAAACAAUAUUCCAGCUGAAGUGUAAUUUUAAUCAUCUCUUGAGUGGUUGAAAUGCCAUAAAGCAUUGUUAAUAAUAAAAUGACAACCUUUUGCCAGCUGAGCAUUUGCACAUUGCCUGGAGGAUAUGGAGAGAGAGAGACCUGGAAGCUGAAGGAACAGAUAUCCAUUAUUAUUUAUGAAGAAAAUCCCAAGAAAUUCACAAAAGAAAAAUAAACUCUCCUAGAACUAAGUGAGCUCAUCAGAGUCACAGGAUACAGAUGGGCACACAAAAAUCAAUCACAAUUGCAUUUUUCUAUAUAUUUAUGUGUCAUGUGAUGUCAGGGAUAUGUUCUGAGACAUGCGUUUUGCUGUCAUGUGACCAUAGAGUAUACUUACACAAACCUAGAUAGUAUGGCCUACUACAUAUCUAGGCAAUACGAUAUAGCCUCCUGCUCCUAGGCAACAAACCCAUGCAGUUUGUUACUGUACUGAGUAUUGUAGGCAUAAUGCUAAGCAUUUGUGUAUCUAAACAUAGAAAAGGUACAGUAAAAAUAUGGUAUAAAAAUUUUGAAAAAUGAUAUAUCUGUAUGGGGCACUGACCACGAAUGACCUGGAAGGUCUUCGUGGACAAUAUGUCCAUGCAGCUGUGUCAUCUCCUAUAAUAACACCACCUCCUGCUGGAAUACCUCCUGAAGAACCUGCUUGAGGCUGUUUAAAAUGGUUAACUUUUUUUAUUUUUAAUAUAUAUGUAGAAGCAGACUCUAAAAUAAUGACAAAAGUAUGGUGUAGUAAAUGCAUAAACCAGAAACAUGGUCAUUUAUUAUCAGUAUUAAGUAUUAUGUACUGUAUAAAAUUGUACUGCUAUACUUUUAUACUACUACUAACACAGUAGGUUUGUUUACACCAGCAUCACCACAAACACAUAAGUAAUGCAUUGGGCUAGGACAUUAAGAUAGCUUGUCACCUAUUCUAUCAAUAUGUGAUAAAAAUUUUUCAGUUCCAUUUUAAUCUUAUGGAACCACUGCUGUCUAUGCGGCCUGUCGUUGACCCAAAUGUCAUUAUGUAGUGCAUAACUGUACUAAUACUAAGAAAAACUGAGUGUUUGUAUUUUAGAGUUAAGCACUGAUACGUUUACAAAUAAAAUAAUAUCUGACGUUUGUUUCAAAGGAAUCUGGAUAAGAGGAUAUGGUAAGAACAUAUAUGAAGUAAGAUUGACCAUGGGUUAAUAAUGUUUGAAGCUAAGUGGUAAAUAAUCUUUGUCCCAACCUUUGUGCAUAGUGGUUCUCAAAGAUGAUCCCUGCACUGGCAGCAACAGGAUCAUUUGAGAUCUUGUUUGAAAAGCAAACUCUGAGGAAACCACAUAUUUUGUAACCAAAACUCUGCACAUGAGGCCCAUUAGCCUGUGGUUUCACAAGCCCUUUAGGUAAUUUUGAUCCAAGCUAAUGUUUCUGAAUCACUGCUCCAGUAUAAAUAACAUAGAAUAUUGCAUGUAUUUGUAGAGACAUGACAUUUGUAUAUUUUUAAGUUAUCCAUAAUACAACGAAAAAUAAUGAAAACACCCAGGACAAAUGUUUCACUGGAAAAAUUUGAAUAAAGUUUGCAGACAUAAUUCUAAUCUUAAACACUUCCAAAAGACAGAAAAGGAUCUAUUCCCCAACCCAGUCUGAGAGUAGAAAAUCUUAGCCCUGGAAGUGAACAAAGAGUAUGAAAGAACUAUUAAAGCCAGUCUCACUUAUGAACAAAAGAUCCAGUAAUCUUAAGAAGUUAAGUAAAUCUAGCAUUAUGUAAAAAUAAUAAAAAUACAUCAGAACGAAGUUGUAUUUAUCCUAGAAAAUGAAAGUUGAUUUAACAUUAGAAACACUUUAAAAAGCAGGGAGGAUUAAAGGAGUUUGUUUAUUCUUAAUAUAUUCUGUUUGUUUAUUUCAGUGUUUUUAUAUGAGUAUCCUUAAAUUUUUAAACUGUGUUAAGAUGCAUGCUUAUACUUGUUUUACUUUUCUGACUGGAAGAUAAACCUAAAUAAAGGUUGUGAAAAAGAUCUUUAAAUAUUACAUUUAUUCUUGAAAUUCUUGUUAACUUUUAUAAUUGAUAGUUGAUAAACAAUUAGGAAGCAUAAGGCACAAUUCUAAUAAUUCUGCAACUUCCCCCUAGAUAUUCUUGAAAUGCUUAUAUCCAUUGGAAUCUGACAUUUAAAAAGUUCAAGAUUUUCAAUAAUUUAAUACACAAACGCUUAAAAGAGUAAAUAUAGUUGUGAUUAAGAGAAGUUUGGCAUUUAAAAAUCAUAGCAAACUGAAACUUUUCAUCUUUUCAUUUGUAACACAAAAUAUUAACUUAAAUGAUUUGAUUUUUCUUUUUCUUUUUCUUUUUUCUUUCUUUCUUUUUUUUCUUUUUCUUUUUUUCUUUUUUUUUCUGGGAUUACAGGCACAUGCCAUCACGCCUAGCUAAUUUUUGUAUUUUUAGUACAGACGGGAUUUCACCAUGUUGGCCGGGAUGGUCUCGAUCUCCUAACUCGUGAUCCUCCCGCCCCCGCCGGCCUUGCCUGGGUUUACAGGCGUGAGCCAUCUUGCCCGGCUGGUUUGAUUUUUCAAUAAAAAUGCAAUAAUUAUAAAUAAGGAAUAAAAAGAGUGUCUGUAUUAUAAAAUAUAAUAACUUUUAUUUUGCCUUUCGAUAUCCCUUUGGUUUCAAAACCAAAUGUAAUAUAAACUGUCAAUUUAAAAUUGAUUUAUUAACAAAUUAUUAUUUCCUUAUGUAAACAUUUAAUUAUUACACAUCUCUGUUAUUAAAUGGAAAAAGUUGAAGAUUGUAUGAAUAUUAUAGUUUAUGCAUGUUAUACAAUUAAAUACAUUAUAUAUAGUUUAAUAAAAUGGUAACCCCAAAUUUUAGAAAUAU
RNAcentral lists this long non-coding RNA (2873 nucleotides) under Homo sapiens (human). RNAcentral's name for it is "HSALNT0019197". Lineage: Eukaryota; Metazoa; Chordata; Mammalia; Primates; Hominidae. The record is from RNAcentral.